Molecule: long non-coding RNA, 211 nt
Filed under: Lotus japonicus
Lineage: Eukaryota; Viridiplantae; Streptophyta; Magnoliopsida; Fabales; Fabaceae
Description: long non-coding RNA (LJAP_LNC002129)
Source: RNAcentral
AUUUGAUUCCACUAUAUUAUAUUCCAGAUAACAAAUAGAAGCUUCUUCAAUAACCUUAACUUGAUUAUCACGAAAUCCAUCCAAAGCUUCUAGAAAAAUCAGCCAAACACACAGCAGAUCCGCAGAACAAAUGUGACAGCACGAUGUUACAACAUCUGCUUCGACAUUAGGUUGUUUUUGAAAAAAUGCAGACAACCAAAAGUAACAACAA